UACGAAGGGGGCUAGCGUUGCUCGGAAUUACUGGGCGUAAAGGGCGCGUAGGCGGGUCGUUAAGUUAGAGGUGAAAGCCCAGGGCUCAACCCUGGAAUUGCCUUUAAUACUGUCGACCUUGAGUAUGGCAGAGGUGUGUGGAACUCCGAGUGUAGAGGUGAAAUUCGUAGAUAUUCGGAAGAACACCAGUGGCGAAGGCGACACACUGGGCCAUUACUGACGCUGAGGCGCGAAAGCGUGGGGAGCAAACAGG
RNAcentral lists this ribosomal RNA (253 nucleotides) under uncultured bacterium. RNAcentral's name for it is "partial 16S ribosomal RNA". It matches the Rfam family "Bacterial small subunit ribosomal RNA", at positions 524 to 776 of the family's 1533-position model. The record is from RNAcentral.